UUGUGGAGCUAAGGAGAAUUGAACUCCUGACCUCCUGCAUGCCAUGCAGGCGCUCUACCAACUGAGCUAUAGCCCC
Molecule: transfer RNA, 76 nt
Filed under: Streptomyces coelicoflavus ZG0656
Lineage: Bacteria; Bacillati; Actinomycetota; Actinomycetes; Kitasatosporales; Streptomycetaceae
Description: tRNA-Ala
Source: RNAcentral